GUCGCGAGGGAGAUCUGGCUGCGACAUCUGCCACCCAUUGAUCAUCAGGGUUGAUUGGGUGAUCUGAUUGGCAAUGUGGGUGUUCCCGUCCUCCUGCACGCUCAUGUGUGUCCCUUUCAAAACUUUGCCCUCCGUCAAAGAGAAUGACUUUUCCCAAUAGUGGAUGGUUCUGUCCAGCACUCCUCUGUCGGAACCUGCACACAAGCUCUGGAAACUCCUAGUGGGCUG
This 228-nucleotide small RNA is filed under the name Microtus ochrogaster (prairie vole). RNAcentral's name for it is "7SK RNA (ENSMOCG00000005752.1)". The stretch from base 1 to 177 matches the Rfam family "7SK RNA". Rfam says of the family: 7SK was discovered as an abundant small nuclear RNA in the mid-70s but a possible function has only recently been suggested. Two independent studies have found that 7SK RNA binds the CDK9/cyclin T complex (known as elongation factor P-TEFb). Lineage: Eukaryota; Metazoa; Chordata; Mammalia; Rodentia; Cricetidae. The record is from RNAcentral.